RNAcentral lists this transfer RNA (86 nucleotides) under Lachnospiraceae bacterium. RNAcentral describes it as "tRNA-Ser". It matches the Rfam family "tRNA". From Rfam's summary of the family: Transfer RNA (tRNA) molecules are approximately 80 nucleotides in length. Their secondary structure includes four short double-helical elements and three loops (D, anti-codon, and T loops). Lineage: Bacteria; Bacillati; Bacillota; Clostridia; Lachnospirales; Lachnospiraceae. The record is from RNAcentral.
GGAGAGUUAUCGAAGUGGUCAUAACGAGCUUGACUCGAAAUCAAGUUGUCCAUCCGGGCACGUGGGUUCGAAUCCCACACUCUCCG